UACGUAGGGUGCAAACGUUAAUCGGAAUUACUGGGCGUAAAGCGUGCGCAGGCAGUUUUGUAAGUCUGACGUGAAAUCCCCGGGCUCAACCUGGGAAUUGCGUUGGAGACUGCAAGGCUGGAGUCUGGCAGAGGGGGGUAGAAUUCCACGUGUAGCAGUGAAAUGCGUAGAGAUGUGGAGGAACACCGAUGGCGAAGGCAGCCCCCUGGGUCAAGACUGACGCUCAUGCACGAAAGCGUGGGGAGCAAACAGG
RNAcentral lists this ribosomal RNA (253 nucleotides) under uncultured bacterium. RNAcentral's name for it is "partial 16S ribosomal RNA". It matches the Rfam family "Bacterial small subunit ribosomal RNA", at positions 524 to 776 of the family's 1533-position model. The record is from RNAcentral.